CUUAAAAGUUACGGUUUAUUUUAUUGGCCACCCACAAAAUUCCACGAAUACCUAUAUAAGCUAGAUACGAUGUUUGCUAGCCAUAGUUUUCAAGUACCAGUUUAGCUGAAAACAGUUGGUAAAAGAUGAAAUACCUGCAGGUUUUUAUUUUGGGGCUGCUUUUAAUUGUAUGCAUUGACUAUAGCGAGUGCCUUCUGCCGCCACCGAAGUAUGACCCACAGGACUUGGUGGGCUGUGUACCAGGGUCCUACGUACAAAGUCAUUACUACCACAUCGCCUGUUUGUGCAUCAGCCCCGGAGUUGCAGACGAGAAUAAAUGCCUCGAUACCUAUUCAGUAUAGGUCUUACACUUACUAGCAUAGAGAAAUAUAAGUAACGAAAGAGUGCUAACUCCAUACAUCAGUUUUCUUACCAAAACGCGGGUUAUUUCGUAGUCGGCAUUAGGGUUGCAAAUAGAAAAAAAUCAAAUGUUUUUUUUCAAAUUUUUGAAAAAAAAAACAUGAAAAAAAACCUGGCACCAUGGUUUUUUAUUCAGAUGAACAAAAAUAUGCCACAAUAACGGUUUUUCGUGAUUUAUUUAUAUAAGUAACUUAAAACUAAGUAAUUUUUGUGGAAUCCCUGAAUUCCCCGAUGCGGCGACGAGAGGCGUUGGUGUUGCCAACAGUAAAUUGCGAUAACUACCACUACAGAUUUCAUUUAUGUUGUUAUUAAUCAAAGUUGUUAAAUUAAAGUCUAAAACAAGUAAAACAACCGUAUAAAAGUAUUAACCGCCUUGCAAAUUUUGAGUUUUUAUACUUUUGAAAAAAAACGGUUUUUUUCACGGUUUUUUUUUCAUGUUUUUUUUUUCAAGUCAGAAAAAAAAACCGUUUUUUUACAACCCUAGUCGGCAUCUAGUAGUGAGGGAAGUAGUGUCACCCAAUGUAUGGGACGUGCAAAUUUUGGUAUCGGAUGAAUUCACUUGGCACAGAUGAAGUAUACGUAAAGCUAAGCCAAUCCAGCAGUGGGUUGGCAGGGGGGCAUCCAAAGUUACACGCCUUCUAUCGGCUUCUAUUUACCUACCACCUCGAGUUUGGUAUCAUUUCCAGAUAAAUCGGGCAUGAGGAAUUCAUAUUUGAGACAUUUAAUGUACAGUUUAAUAGAAAAAAAUAAAAAUAUUGACGCUCAAAUAAAAAUCGGUUUGCUAUUUUUUUUAUUCAACUAUUACUAUUAUCCGCCGAAACUACAAAUGCUAGAAAGUUGAAAUUUGCACACCAGGUUAUAUUUAUAAUCUGUACAAGAGAUAAGAAGCGAUUUUGAAAAAUUCAACCCCUAAUACAAGAAAAGUAAUUUCAGCGUUUUUAAAAAUUCAUCCUCUAACGGGGUUAAAAAGGAGUUGAAAGCUUAAAUCCAUUACAAAUUACUUUGACUGCCCCCCCUGCCUUCCUGCCAGGGGGUGGCGGAUGUCUACCGGGCUCAAUUAGCUUAGCUUUACGUAUAUUACAUCUGUGCUAAGUGAAUUCAUCCGAUACCAAAAUUUGCACCUUAUGACACUACUUCCCGUACUAUAGCGUCAAGUAGCGGUUAUCAGUACUAUUUGACACCAGUACGGUUACCAUCAGUUUGUCACUGACAUAAACGCCGUCGAGAACGUAAUUUACUUUCUAUACAUCUCGCUCGCACUCGCAUAUUAGUGCAAACGGGAUGUAUAGAAAGUAAAUUACGUUCUCGACGGCGUUUAUGUCAGUGAGAAACUGAUGGUAACCGUACAGAUGCCACGAGUGUGUUGCUAAAAAUGUAUUGCUAAAACAAUUUACAACUAAUAUUACAAGCAGAGUUGAAAAUAGAGUUCCGGUUAAUCCGGUAUAACCGGUAUAACCAAUAUCAGCUGAAAAUUGUUGAGCAUUAGACUUUUCGUUCAUCGCGACAUCUAUUGUCAAGGAGCAGUACGGAUAAAUACGCUAGUUGACGCUAGAUGUCGAGUACGAAAAUAAAAAGCGUUUUGGUAAGAAAACUAAUGUAUAUAGUUAGCACUCUAUGCGUACUUAUUUCUGUAUGGUCUUAGUAGACUUCCUAGGUCUGCUACGGGAAGCGGCCCUGCUUGGAAAAGAAAGAAAAUACAUUUAUUUAACGUCAUAGCAUAGGACAUGUAGGUCAUAGUCAUAGCUAAUACCAUGUUGCCUGGCCUGCCUGCCAAAAUUUUUCCUAUAAUAGGGAGUAUUACUGCAAUGUUCUGCGGCCAGAGUGCAACACUAAACUAGCUAGUAAACCAUAGAGUAACUUA
This is a long non-coding RNA of Cydia splendana, 2260 nucleotides long. RefSeq lists it as uncharacterized. The record is from RefSeq and is a predicted model, not a curated record. The transcript has 3 exons. NCBI's taxonomy places the organism in Eukaryota, Metazoa, Arthropoda, Insecta, Lepidoptera, Tortricidae.